GUGGUGUUAACACUAUAGGGUCAUGAAUUCAUGUUUGUGUUCCUGACCCUAUAGUGAUCCUUUAAGGUAAUGCUGACUUUGGUCUCUCUAACACUGUGGCAUGUUCCAUUUCUUCUACACUCACUACAUACAGCUUUUCUCUGUCCCAGACUAUAUACCAGGAGCUUCUGCCUGCUAGUAAGAAGGUAAGAAGACAAGUGGACCAGCGAGUGCUAGGAAACAGUCCUUAGAAAGCGUUGAGUGAGCGCAUAAUUAGCUCAGGGUGCUGUCUGCAUAGUAUGGCCAGCUGCAUGAUUGGCAGGCAUCCUGACAUGCAUUCAUGCCAGACUGGCCUUCUAAUUCUUUGGGCAGACAUACCCUCUUUUUGGGCAUGUUCGUCCCUUUUGGCAGGUCGCGUGAUUUGUGUCAGUGGCACACCCUUUUACCGUGCCCAUUGACUUCCUGCUUGACUGGACACUGCUGUUAGCUGUUAUGGAUUUACUUGAAAGAUGAAAACAUAAAUUAGAGGGAG
Molecule: non-coding RNA, 511 nt
Organism: Pelobates cultripes (western spadefoot toad)
Lineage: Eukaryota; Metazoa; Chordata; Amphibia; Anura; Pelobatidae
Source: the annotation of a GenBank genome assembly